RNAcentral lists this ribosomal RNA (254 nucleotides) under uncultured bacterium. RNAcentral's name for it is "partial 16S ribosomal RNA". It matches the Rfam family "Bacterial small subunit ribosomal RNA", at positions 524 to 776 of the family's 1533-position model. The record is from RNAcentral.
UACGUAGGGGGCAAGCGUUGUUCGGAUUUACUGGGCGUAAAGGGCGCGUAGGCGGCGCGUAAAGUCGGACAUGAAAUCAUUAGGCUCAACCUAAUGGCUGUGUCCGAUACUUACGUGCUUGGAGUGCGGGAGAGGCAGCCGGAAUUCUCGGUGUAGCGGUGAAAUGCGUAGAUAUCGAGAGGAACACCGGUGACGAAGGUGGGUUGCUGGACCGACACUGACGCUGAGGCGCGAAAGCUAGGGGAGCAAACGGG